AACUUAGUGGCGGACGGGUGAGUAACGCGUGAGUAACCUGCCUUUCAGAGGGGGAUAACGUCCUGAAAAGGACGCUAAUACCGCAUGAUAUAUUUGUGCCGCAUGGUAUGGAUAUCAAAGGAGCAAUCCGCUGGAAGAUGGACUCGCGUCCGAUUAGCUAGUUGGAGGGGUAACGGCCCACCAAGGCGACGAUCGGUAGCCGGACUGAGAGGUUGAACGGCCACAUUGGGACUGAGACACGGCCCAGACUCCUACGGGAGGCAGCAGUGGGGGAUAUUGCGCAAUGGGGGAAACCCUGACGCAGCAACGCCGCGUGAAGGAAGAAGGUUUUCGGAUUGUAAACUUCUUUUCUAAGGGACGAAGAAGUGACGGUACCUUAGGAAUAAGCUCCGGCUAACUACGUGCCAGCAGCCGCGGUAAUACGUAGGGAGCAAGCGUUGUCCGGAUUUACUGGGUGUAAAGGGUGCGUAGGCGGCAAUGCAAGUCAGAUGUGAAAUGCACGGGCUCAACCCGUGAGCUGCAUUUGAAACUGUGUUGCUUGAGUGAGGUAGAGGCAGGCGGAAUUCCCGGUGUAGCGGUGAAAUGCGUAGAGAUCGGGAGGAACACCAGUGGC
RNAcentral lists this ribosomal RNA (613 nucleotides) under uncultured Lachnospiraceae bacterium. RNAcentral describes it as "bacterial SSU rRNA". It matches the Rfam family "Bacterial small subunit ribosomal RNA", at positions 89 to 716 of the family's 1533-position model. The record is from RNAcentral. Lineage: Bacteria; Bacillati; Bacillota; Clostridia; Lachnospirales; Lachnospiraceae.